GAUGAACGCUGGCGGCGUGCCUAAUACAUGCGAGUCGAGCGAACAGACGAGGAGCUUGCUCCUCUGACGUUAGCGGCGGACGGGUGAGUAACACGUGGAUAACCUACCUAUAAGACUGGGAUAACUUCGGGAAACCGGAGCUAAUACCGGAUAAUAUAUUGAACCGCAUGGUUCAAUAGUGAAAGACGGUUUUGCUGUCACUUAUAGAUGGAUCCGCGCCGCAUUAGCUAGUUGGUAAGGUAACGGCUUACCAAGGCAACGAUGCGUAGCCGACCUGAGAGAGUGAUCGGCCACACUGGAACUGAGACACGGUCCAGACUCCUACGGGAGGCAGCAGUAGGGAAUCUUCCGCAAUGGGCGAAAGCUUGACGGAGCAACGCCGCGUGAGUGAUGAAGGUCUUCGGAUCGUAAAACUCUGUUAUUAGGGAAGAACAAAUGUGUAAGUAACUAUGCACGUCUUGACGGUACCUAAUCAGAAAGCCACGGCUAACUACGUG
RNAcentral lists this ribosomal RNA (497 nucleotides) under uncultured bacterium. RNAcentral's name for it is "partial 16S ribosomal RNA". It matches the Rfam family "Bacterial small subunit ribosomal RNA", at positions 28 to 507 of the family's 1533-position model. The record is from RNAcentral.